This 1089-nucleotide ribosomal RNA is filed under the name Triticum aestivum (bread wheat). Its description in RNAcentral is "partial small subunit ribosomal RNA". The record is from RNAcentral. Lineage: Eukaryota; Viridiplantae; Streptophyta; Magnoliopsida; Poales; Poaceae.
AUGCGCCAGGAUUCUUUGCGGAGGCCGGCACCGCACCCGCCGUGCAACACUUCAAGGAACAAGUCAACUCGCAGCGUAGAGGCAGAGGAAAACAUACAAAACAAAUCGCACAACACGGCGAUUUCCGGCCCCCUUUGCCUCUUGGAGAAAAAGAUUUCCAGCUUCGACGCCCUUUAUAUCCCCGUGGCGGCCUCCCCAACCACCCCACCCGCCGCCCCGCCCCGCAUCGUCGGCAUCAUGUCCGAUCUCCGCGCCCCGGAGCACCAGGUCGCCGGCCACCGCGCGGCGCCCGACAAGCUCGGCCCGCUGGUCGACGGCGCCGGCCUCUUCUACAAGCCGCUGCAGGCCCUGGACCGCGGCGAGCAGGAGCUGGCCUUCUACACGGCCUUCUCCGCCCACCCCGACGUGCCGCCCCGCAUCCGGGACGCCUUCUUCCCGCGCUUCCACGGCACGCGCCUCCUCCCCACCGCCGCCUCCCCCGGCGAGUCCCACCCGCACCUCAUCCUCGACGACAUCCUCAAGGGCCUCGCCGCGCCCUCCGUCACCGACAUCAAGAUCGGCGCCUGCACGUGGCCCCCGCGCGCGCCGGAGCCCUACGUCGAGAAGUGCCUCGCCAAGGACCGCGGCUCCACCAGCGUCCUCCUCGGCUUCCGCGUGUCCGGGGUCAUGGUCUCCGACCCCAGCGGCGCCGUCUGGCGGCCCGACAGGUCGGAGCUCAAGGGGACCGACAUCCCCGGCGUCCGCCGCAUGCUCCGGCGCUACGUGUCGUCGGUCGGCGGCGAGGACUGCGCGCUGGCCGCGGCCGUGUACGGGGGCGAGGGCGGGGUCCUGGCGCAGCUGCGCGAGCUCAAGGCGUGGUUCGAGGUGCAGACGCUGUUCCACUUCUACUCGGCGUCGGUGCUGCUGAGCUACGACGCCAACGCGGUGACCGCGCCCGGCGGCGCGCCGAGGGUCAAGCUGGUGGACUUCGCGCAUGUGGUGGAGAGCGAGGGGGUGAUCGACCACAACUUCUUGGGCGGCCUCUGCUCCCUCAUCAAGUUCAUAGACGACAUUGUCUCUUCUGACAAGGCGCCUCCGGUUCAGUCUUGA